RNAcentral lists this ribosomal RNA (491 nucleotides) under uncultured bacterium. Its description in RNAcentral is "bacterial SSU rRNA". It matches the Rfam family "Bacterial small subunit ribosomal RNA", at positions 27 to 507 of the family's 1533-position model. The record is from RNAcentral.
GAGUGAACGCUGGCGGCAGGCCUAACACAUGCAAGUCGAACGGCAGCACGGCAGUAGCAAUACUGUGGGUGGCGAGUGGCGGACGGGUGAGGAAUACAUCGGGAUCUACCCUGUUGUGGGGGAUAACGUAGGGAAACUUACGCUAAUACCGCAUAAGAACUGAGGUUGAAAGCGGCGGACCGCAAGGCGUCGCGCGAUUGGAUGAACCGAUGUCCGAUUAGCUAGUUGGCGGGGUAAAGGCCCACCAAGGCGACGAUCGGUAGCUGGUCUGAGAGGACGACCAGCCACACUGGAACUGAGACACGGUCCAGACUCCUACGGGAGGCAGCAGUGGGGAAUAUUGGACAAUGGGCGCAAGCCUGAUCCAGCCAUGCCGCGUGGGUGAAGAAGGCCUUCGGGUUGUAAAGCCCUUUUGUCCGGAAAGAAAAGCAUUCGGUUAAUACCCGGGUGUUCUGACGGUACCGGAAGAAUAAGCACCGGCUAACUUCGUG